GUUUAAAUCCCUCCUGUACUA
RNAcentral lists this transfer RNA (21 nucleotides) under Crotaphytus nebrius. RNAcentral's name for it is "partial tRNA-Met". Lineage: Eukaryota; Metazoa; Chordata; Lepidosauria; Squamata; Crotaphytidae. The record is from RNAcentral.